This is a long non-coding RNA of Cucumis melo (muskmelon), 1320 nucleotides long. RefSeq lists it as uncharacterized. The transcript is spliced from 4 exons. Lineage: Eukaryota; Viridiplantae; Streptophyta; Magnoliopsida; Cucurbitales; Cucurbitaceae. The record is from RefSeq and is a predicted model, not a curated record.
UUUAAAUGUGGAAAAAAAAAGAAAAAAAAAUGGAAAUUAAGUGUAAAUAUAAAUAUAUAUAUUUAUAUAUUAAAUAGUUUUAUUAAAUUAAUUAAAGAAAAGAAAGAAAAGAAAGGACAAAAAGAAGAAAAGGAGAAGAAAAUUUCAUUUUCUCUUUUCUUCUUCUUCUUCUCUUCCCUUCACCGCCAAGUUUGAAGACAUCCAAGUUCCCUUUAUUUUUUUUGUUCUUUUUCCUUCUUCAAUUUUCAGAGAACUUCUAAGAGAGAGUUUGGAAGAAGAAGAGAAAUUUUACUAGAAUUUUUAGGUUGAAGAAGAGGAGGAGAACUCAAGCAAAGUGUAUCAAUGGCUGAAUUUUAGUUCAUUCUGCACAUCACUGGUUUUUAAUUCGGUUUGAACUCUUCAAAAGGAAUUAAGAGAAAACAGGGCAGUUGGUUUUCACUCGAAAUCAGGAGGUCUCUGGUUUUUCUUGUAUUUCAGAGUGUAUCGGUGGAGUUAGAAUUUCUAUUUGGUAUGGUUGGAAAGCUUAUUCAAUUUACUACAACUUUCAUGAAGAAAUUGUAAACCAAAAACGACUAAAAAUUGGUUAAAUUGUAGGAACAAGUUAAAGAGGUCGUGUGCGCGCGAUUCUGGAAGUGGUUCUGUUUUGAGGGUUAUAUGUGUUUAUGCACGGGGAAUCAGAUUUAUAUGUCUUCAGGCCAAGAAGAAUUAAACCGAGCUUAUAGACCAAGGAUCUAGCCCAAGACUGUAGAGAUCGACUUCCCGGUGCCUGAUAGACUGCCUUAGUCUGCGGAAGCUUCAUUAUCGAUUGCCAGUACGUGUUUUGAGUUGGGCAUAAAGUCUGUUGUGUUGUGAUGUAUUCACACCCUUGUAUGUUAUAGAUACUCCACAGUUUGUAUAAGCUUUAGGAGCUGUAGUUGUGUAAAUUUUGUUGGUUAUAUUUUGAUUAAGGUGUCUUUAGGUUUACUCGUGAAAUUGGUAAAUUUUGAGGUACACUUCAUGUAUGUGUUUGACUAGCUGUGUUUGACUAGCCUAGGAUCCGAUGUGUUUUGUGGCAUGUACAAUAGUUUAUAUACUAGAUUGGCAAGUUCAUCACAUGAAAGUUUUAAGCAGAGUCGACAGAUACAGGUACAGAAUAACGUUGUACGUCGGCUUCACGCCAUCUUUCGGUCUAAGGUAGCAGGUAGUCCGGGAGGGGGUGUGACAUGUCUACAAUUUAUCUUUUUAAUUCCAUCGUUUAAUUUUGUUACUCGAUCGUUUAGAUUUGGGUGGGGACCCAAAUCUAAAUGAUUUUUUUAUAAAUUUAGUACACGAUUUUUUUAA